Molecule: ribosomal RNA, 413 nt
Filed under: uncultured microorganism
Description: bacterial SSU rRNA
Rfam family: Archaeal small subunit ribosomal RNA
Source: RNAcentral
CAGCCGCCGCGGUAAUACCGGCGGCCCGAGUGGCGGUCACUAUUAUUGGGCUUAAAGCGUCCGUAGCCGGGUUGGGAAGUCCUCCGGGAAAUCUGGCCGCUUAACGGUCAGAAUGCCGGAGGAUACUCCCAGCCUAGGGAGCGGGAGAGGCCGAGGGGAUUCCCGGAGUAGGGGGGAAAUCCUAUAAUCCCGGGAGGACCACCUGUGGCGAAGGCGCUCGGCUGGAACGCGUCCGACGGUGAGGGACGAAGGCCAGGGGAGCAAACCGGAUUAGAUACCCGGGUAGUCCUGGCUGUAAACGAUGCGGACUUUGUGUCGGACAAGCUAUGAGCUUGUCCGGUGCCGGAGGGAAACCGUUAAGUCCGCCGCCUGGGGAGUACGGCCGCAAGGCUGAAACUUAAAGAAAUUGCGGG